UCCGUGUCUGCUAAGGAUAUGAGGUGUAGUGAUGGCACAUUAACGAUAGGACCCAUGACAGCAGCUACGGAUGAUCCCGUGGGUUUGAUGGGGUCGUGGAUCAGACAUAUCGCUGUGGCACAGCGACAUCCGCUUCUUUUUUCAGCGAGCCAUUACAUCAGCCCUGGAGCGGCAGACACUCCGCAGCUUACAACUGAAAAUAAAGGACAGCAUUAAAAGCUAUUCGGUAAGCCACUGUAAAAUUGAUCAAGCUAUAAAAGCUGCUACGUCCUUGCCUCCCUCUGCUGUCCAGCCGCUCCAAACCCAAAGAUAGCAUUAUGAUUGUGGAGGAGAGAAGAUGGAUAAAGAACUACAGAAAAGAAAGACACCAAAACUGAGAAGAAAGCUAGAAAAGGAGAUAAAA
This is a long non-coding RNA of Oreochromis niloticus (Nile tilapia), 403 nucleotides long. RefSeq lists it as uncharacterized. The transcript is spliced from 3 exons. The record is from RefSeq and is a predicted model, not a curated record. Lineage: Eukaryota; Metazoa; Chordata; Actinopteri; Cichliformes; Cichlidae.